This 658-nucleotide ribosomal RNA is filed under the name uncultured rumen archaeon. RNAcentral's name for it is "bacterial SSU rRNA". It matches the Rfam family "Archaeal small subunit ribosomal RNA", at positions 1 to 602 of the family's 1478-position model. The record is from RNAcentral.
UUCUGUUUGAUCCCGGCGGAGGCUACUGCUAUUGGGAUUCGAUUAAGCCAUGCAAGUUGAAUGAAUUUAGAUUCAUGGCGUACGGCUCAGUAACACGUGGAUAACUUACCCUUAGGACUGGGAUAACUCUGGGAAACUGGGGAUAAUACUGGAUAUUAGGCUAUGCCUGGAAUGGUUUGCCUUUGAAAUGUUUUUUCGCCUAAGGAUAGAUCUGCGGCUGAUUAGGUCGUUGGUGGGGUAAUGGCCCACCAAGCCGAUGAUCGGUACGGGUUGUGAGAGCAAGAGCCCGGAGAUGGAACCUGAGACAAGGUUCCAGACCCUACGGGGUGCAGCACGCGCGAAACCUCCGCAAUGUACGAAAGUGCGACGGGGGGAUCCCAAGUGUCAUGCUUUUUUGUAUGACUUUUCAUUAGUGUAAAAAGCUUUUAGAAUAAGAGCUGGGAAAGACCGUGGGCAGCCGUUGCGGUAACCCCAGCAGCUCGAGUGGGAGCUGUUUUUAUUGGGUCUAAAGCCUUGGUAAUCGGCUUCAGAAGUCAGCCGGGCAAACUUGUACCUCCACCAUCCAUAAUUGCUGGAGAUACCCUCAGCAAUCUAAUCUAGGGACACGACCAAAGGCACUAUCGGGGCGCUGGAUUAAAACUUUACGGUAGGUGCGUAC